UUUGUGCAUUUUCAAUAAGCGGAGGAAAAGAAACUAACAAGGAAUCCCCUAGUAGCGGCGAGCGAAGCGGGAAGAGCUCAAAUUUAUAAUCUGGCACCUUCGGUGUCCGAGUUGUAAUCUCUAGAAAUGUUUUCCGCGUUGGACCGCACACAAGUCUGUUGGAAUACAGCGGCAUAGUGGUGAGACCCCCGUAUAUGGUGCGGACGCCCAGCGCUUUGUGAUACAUUUUCGAAGAGUCGAGUUGUUUGGGAAUGCAGCUCAAAUUGGGUGGUAAAUUCCAUCUAAAGCUAAAUAUUGGCGAGAGACCGAUAGCGAACAAGUACCGUGAGGGAAAGAUGAAAAGCACUUUGGAAAGAGAGUUAACAGUACGUGAAAUUGUUGGAAGGGAAACGCUUGAAGUCAGACUUGCUUGCCGAGCAAUCGGUUUGCAGGCCAGCAUCAGUUUUCCGGGAUGGAUAAUGGUAGAGAGAAGGUAGCAGUUUCGGCUGUGUUAUAGCUCUCUGCUGGAUACAUCUUGGGGGACUGAGGAACGCAGUGUGCCUUUGGCGGGGGUUUCGACCUCUUCACACUUAGGAUGCUGGUG
Molecule: ribosomal RNA, 583 nt
Filed under: Rhodotorula mucilaginosa
Lineage: Eukaryota; Fungi; Basidiomycota; Microbotryomycetes; Sporidiobolales; Sporidiobolaceae
Description: eukaryotic LSU rRNA
Rfam family: Eukaryotic large subunit ribosomal RNA
Source: RNAcentral